AUUGAACGCUGGCGGCAGGCUUAACACAUGCAAGUCGAACGGUAACAUAAAGAAGCUUGCUUCUUUGAUGACGAGUGGCGGACGGGUGAGUAAUGCUUGGGAAUCUAGCUUAUGGAGGGGGAUAACUACGGGAAACUGUAGCUAAUACCGCGUAGAAUCGGGAGAUGAAAGUGUGGGACCUUCGGGCCACAUGCCAUAGGAUGAGCCCAAGUGGGAUUAGGUAGUUGGUGAGGUAAAGGCUCACCAAGCCGACGAUCUCUAGCUGGUCUGAGAGGAUGACCAGCCACACUGGGACUGAGACACGGCCCAGACUCCUACGGGAGGCAGCAGUGGGGAAUAUUGCGCAAUGGGGGCAACCCUGACGCAGCCAUGCCGCGUGAAUGAAGAAGGCCUUCGGGUUGUAAAGUUCUUUCGGUAGCGAGGAAGGCAUUUAGUUUAAUAAACUGGAUGAUUGACGUAA
This 460-nucleotide ribosomal RNA is filed under the name Terrahaemophilus aromaticivorans. RNAcentral describes it as "bacterial SSU rRNA". It matches the Rfam family "Bacterial small subunit ribosomal RNA", at positions 30 to 477 of the family's 1533-position model. The record is from RNAcentral. Lineage: Bacteria; Pseudomonadati; Pseudomonadota; Gammaproteobacteria; Pasteurellales; Pasteurellaceae.